Molecule: transfer RNA, 72 nt
Filed under: Cavia porcellus (domestic guinea pig)
Lineage: Eukaryota; Metazoa; Chordata; Mammalia; Rodentia; Caviidae
Rfam family: tRNA
About the family: Transfer RNA (tRNA) molecules are approximately 80 nucleotides in length.
Source: Rfam by way of RNAcentral
UGAGAUGUUGCUCAGUAGUACAGCAUCUGCCUGGCACGCACAGGGGCUAGAGUUUGAUUCCUAGCAUGUCAA